UAAACCCUAAUUCUUCU
This 17-nucleotide small RNA is filed under the name Arabidopsis thaliana (thale cress). RNAcentral describes it as "ATSL104520". The record is from RNAcentral. Lineage: Eukaryota; Viridiplantae; Streptophyta; Magnoliopsida; Brassicales; Brassicaceae.